CCCAACUAUCCCUAUUAAUCAUUACGUCGAUCCUAGAAACCAACAAAAUAGAAUCAAACGUCCUAUUCCAUUAUUCCAUGCUAAUGUAUUCAAGCGUGAGCCUGCUUUAAACACUCUAAUUUUUUCAAAGUAACAGUCCUGAUUCCCCAUAACACCAAAUUAAUGGCAUUAUAGUUCGUCAGAAAGGAGAAACCAAUAAAACCAGUACGUACAAAAGCACGACCAGUAGAUCGGUCUCGAAAUUCAACUACGAGCUUUUUAACUGCAACAACUUUAAUAUACGCUAUUGGAGCUGGAAUUACCGCGGCUGCUGGCACCAGACUUGCCCUCCAA
This 333-nucleotide unclassified non-coding RNA is filed under the name uncultured Glomeraceae. Its description in RNAcentral is "sequence contains 18S rRNA gene". The record is from RNAcentral. Lineage: Eukaryota; Fungi; Glomeromycota; Glomeromycetes; Glomerales; Glomeraceae.